This 83-nucleotide transfer RNA is filed under the name Octopus bimaculoides (California two-spot octopus). RNAcentral describes it as "transfer RNA serine (anticodon UGA)". It matches the Rfam family "tRNA". Rfam says of the family: Transfer RNA (tRNA) molecules are approximately 80 nucleotides in length. The record is from RNAcentral. Lineage: Eukaryota; Metazoa; Mollusca; Cephalopoda; Octopoda; Octopodidae.
AGCACGAUGGCUGAGAGGUUAAGGCGUUGGACUUGAGUUCCAAUGGACAGUUGUCCGCGUGUGUUCGAACCCCACUCGUGCUA